AACGUAGGAGACGAGCGUUAUCCGGAUUUACUGGGCGUAAAGCGCGUGUAGGCGGUCUGGAAAGUUGGAUGUGAAAGCUCCCGGCUUAACUGGGAGAGGUCGUUCAAAACUACCGGACUAGAGUGCGGGAAAGGGAGGUGGAAUUCCGGGUGUAGUGGUGAAAUGCGUAGAUAUCCGGAGGAACACCAGUGGCGAAAGCGGCCUUCUGGCCCGCAACUGACGCUCAGACGCGAAAGCUAGGGGAGCAAACGGG
Molecule: ribosomal RNA, 253 nt
Filed under: uncultured bacterium
Lineage: Bacteria
Description: partial 16S ribosomal RNA
Rfam family: Bacterial small subunit ribosomal RNA
Source: RNAcentral